RNAcentral lists this ribosomal RNA (560 nucleotides) under uncultured bacterium. RNAcentral's name for it is "bacterial SSU rRNA". It matches the Rfam family "Bacterial small subunit ribosomal RNA", at positions 338 to 915 of the family's 1533-position model. The record is from RNAcentral.
CCUACGGGAGGCAGCAGUGGGGAAUAUUGGACAAUGGACGAAAGUCUGAUCCAGCAAUGCCGCGUGAGUGAUGAAGGCCUUAGGGUUGUAAAGCUCUUUUACCAGGGAUGAUAAUGACAGUACCUGGAGAAUAAGCUCCGGCUAACUCCGUGCCAGCAGCCGCGGUAAUACGGAGGGAGCUAGCGUUGUUCGGAAUUACUGGGCGUAAAGCGCACGUAGGCGGUUAUUCAAGUCAGAGGUGAAAGCCCGGGGCUCAACCCCGGAACUGCCUUUGAAACUAGAUAGCUAGAAUCCUGGAGAGGUGAGUGGAAUUCCGAGUGUAGAGGUGAAAUUCGUAGAUAUUCGGAAGAACACCAGUGGCGAAGGCGGCUCACUGGACAGGUAUUGACGCUGAGGUGCGAAAGCGCGGGGAGCAAACAGGAUUAGAUACCCUGGUAGUCCACGCCGUAAACGAUGAUAACUAGCUGUCCGGGCACAUGGUGCUUGGGUGGCGCAGCUAACGCAUUAAGUUAUCCGCCUGGGGAGUACGGUCGCAAGAUUAAAACUCAAAGGAAUUGAGG